AGCGAACGCUGGCGGCAGGCUUAACACAUGCAAGUCGAACGGGCCUUCGGGAUAGUGGCGGACGGGUGAGUAACACGUGGGAACGUACCCUUAGGUUCGGAACAACACAGGGAAACUUGUGCUAAUACCGGAUAAGCCCUUCGGGGGAAAGAUUUAUCGCCUUUGGAGCGGCCCGCGUCUGAUUAGCUUGUUGGUGAGGUAAUGGCUCACCAGGGCUACGAUCAGUAGCUGGUCUGAGAGGAUGGCCAGCCACACUGGGACUGAGACACGGCCCAGACUCCUACGGGAGGCAGCAGUGGGGAAUCUUGCGCAAUGGGCGAAAGCCUGACGCAGCCAUGCCGCGUGGAUGAUGAAGGUCUUAGGAUUGUAAAAUCCUUUCACCGGGGACGAUAAUGACGGUACCCGGAGAAGAAGCCCCGGCUAACUUCGUGCCAGCAGCCGCCGUAA
Molecule: ribosomal RNA, 447 nt
Filed under: uncultured bacterium
Lineage: Bacteria
Description: partial 16S ribosomal RNA
Rfam family: Bacterial small subunit ribosomal RNA
Source: RNAcentral